Molecule: ribosomal RNA, 443 nt
Filed under: uncultured bacterium
Lineage: Bacteria
Description: partial 16S ribosomal RNA
Rfam family: Bacterial small subunit ribosomal RNA
Source: RNAcentral
CCUACGGGUGGCAGCAGUGGGGAAUAUUGGGCAAUGGAGGCAACUCUGACCCAGCAAUGCCGCGUGAGUGAUGAAGGUAAUUUGAUUGUAAAGCUUUUUUCUUUGGAACGAAUAAACGACGGUACCAAAGGAAUAAGCUCUGGCUAACUACGUGCCAGCAGCUGCGGUAAUACGGAGGGGGCAAGCGUUGUUCGGAAUGACUGGGCGUAAAGGGUGUGUAGGUGGUUUGAUAAGUUAGAUGUGUAAUACCCAGGGCUUAACUCGGGUGCUGCCUCUAAAACGGGUAGACUUGAGUACUGGUGAGGAUAGUGGAAUUCGUGGUGUAGCGGUGGAAUGCGUAGAUAUUAGGAGGAACAUCAGUGGCGAAGGCGACUAUCUGGACACCAACUGACACUGAGGCACGAAAGCGUGGGGAGCAAACAGGAUUAGAUACCCUAGUAGUC